Molecule: long non-coding RNA, 3074 nt
Organism: Brassica napus (rape)
Lineage: Eukaryota; Viridiplantae; Streptophyta; Magnoliopsida; Brassicales; Brassicaceae
Exons: 9
Source: RefSeq, a predicted model, not a curated record
AUAUAAAUGUUUUGAGAGUAUUGAGAGCGGUGACAGGUCAACUGGAACAUUUCGAGGCUCUAUGGAACUAAAAUAAGUCAGUAACUUUGAUUUUCAAAUAAAUUUAGGUAUUAGUUAGUUUUUUCGGUUAUCUAUUAAUUAGGAUUCAGUUUCUCUUAGAUAUAAAGACAAUGAGUAUGAAAACUAUACUAAAAAUACGGUUCGGUUUUCAUAUAAAUUUUUUGAGAGUAUUGAGAGCGGUGACAGGUCAACUGGAACAUUUCGAGGUUCUAUGGAACUGAAAUAAGUCAAUAACUUUAAUUUCAAAUAAAUUUAGGUAUUAAUCAGUUUUUCGGUUAUCUAUUAAUUAGGAUUCAGUUUCUCUCAGAUAUAAAGACAGUGAGUCUAUCAAAACUAUACUAAAGAUACGGUUCGGUUUUCAUAUAAAUGUAAAUGUUUUCAGUAAGGUUAAAUUAAUGAAUCAAUGAAACAACAGAUGAAAUCAAUUUUAUACAAUAAAGUUGGCUUGACUCUCUCUUCGUACGUCCACGUCAGCAUGGAAGGAGGGCUUUUGCCGACAGAUGUCACUUUUUUUAAUAUUUUCCGCGAAGCUUUUAUGGUUUGUUUCCGUGGGCUAUUCUGUCAACAUUUGAAGUUAGCCCAUCUUCUUUUAGGGUUUGGCCCAUCUUCUUUUGAAAUCUAUUUUUUGCCAUCUGGUUCUCUUUCUCCUCCUUCGCUCUGCGUUUUCUAAAAUCUCAGAAACCAGCUUCAGCUACGUAACGUCCUCCUUUUUCUCCUUGAAUCGGAUUCCCCUUUAAUCUCAUCAUUUACGUCUCACCCACUACUCAUCCCGAAUUAAACAUCAUCAUUAUUAUCAAACGUAACUGAUUCAAGCUCUUCCCUAUAAAUUGGUUCUUAUCUAAUUGAUCAAGAGAAGGGAUCUCUACGCACAGUUCAACGAAAUCUCAAAGUAAAAAACUUCAUCAAGCUUUGAUUCCACCAAUGGCCGCUUCCGCUACUUGCUAACUUGAGAGUCGGCUGUUCCAACACCGCUGAGACGACAUGCUUUUUUUGGAUGAGCAGUAACAGUGUCCUCUCCGAUCUGAAGUCCGGUCGUGCUUCUCAUGACUUUUGACAAUUUCUUCUAGGAAAGUCCAAGAAAGACAAAACAACGACUAUAAACCUUAUAUGGAUGUUAGUGAGAAGAGUUCUAACUACUGUAUGUUAAGAUAAGCACAAGAAAUGGAGGACUCCAGAAAUGUCUGAAACCAGACAAAGACGAAAAUGAUAUUAUAGAGACGGAAUGAGAUUCGUUACAUUGAGAAUAAAUAAUAUUAACAUUGCUCAAACUCUAAGUUGAGAGUUUCAUACAGACCAGACCCUAAGUUGGUUUCUCACUUGCUACAAUCAGGAAAAAUGUAGCUCAAGGAAUUCAUACCCAAUUCAAACAACGCUUGAUCAUAUACACAAGACCAUAUUUGGCAGGAGGAGAUCAAGGAGUUGUGUUUUUGGUCAUUUUAUGUAAAUCACAUAUUUGCAACACACCAAGAGCUAUAGGUCACAACUAUACACUACAAAAUCACUGAGCUAAUCCAUCCUAAGUCUGAUAUUAUGCUCUAUUCCACAUUCCACCUUUCACCUUUUCUUGCUAUAAGCUUUAAUCAAGCUGGUUUGUAAUGGCUCUUUUAGUCACUUUGCAAGCAAAAAUCUGGUACAGGUUCUGCGACACUAUACGUUGAGAGAAAAUAGAAGAAAUAUGUAGACUUGUAGAAAUGGAGGUUAACAUGUGAGUGGAGAUCAGAAAGGAGACAGCUUCUCAAAGGUUGUUGAGCUCUUGCCUGAUAUCAACACUCUAAUGAUUUAUCAGAUUGACAUUUCUGCUCCUGCAUAGUACCUGCAGCAUUUGAGAUGAUCACAAUCGUGAUUUAUCAAGACAUUACAGGCCCCACGCAGGUGAAGAAGCUCCGAUAGGUUCUUCAGCAGAACACAAGUCUUAGAGAAGUCAGGCGCUAAAUAACUGGGCUAAAGACAAAGCAAUUGUGUAUGUUUCAACUGAACUUUUCAAGAACAAGAGCUUGCCGAGUUUGUAUGUUGAUGGAAGCCGGUUCCGGAGCGGUGGCGUAGAGGGUUUCCUUUGCCCGAUUUGAAACCCGCCAGAGUCAAAACAAAAAGUUGCUCCGAGACAUCAUCAUAGUGAGGGAGCAAAUGUACAGAGCAAAUUUAAGGAAUAACAAGCCAGAAGUAGUUGUCACAACAAUGACCUUGAGAACUAUUGCAGGACGUGCUACUAGAAGCAUAUGCGGAAGUUCUGGGCUUCAAUCUGAACACAACAUUGCUACCAUUUCCCUGCAACAUCUCACAUACCUAUUUCAACACUUUUGCUUUUACUAAUUUCAAAUAAACUAAUUUUCGUCAGCUUUGUAUCCUAAGGAAUAGUGUUAGUUAACUAUGUACCAAAUUACAGACUGAAAUUGUGAGGCUAAGUGGUCUUCAAAGAGAAAAUACAUAAACAAUAUUUUUUUAAAAAAAUAACGAAUCUUGAGUCAGAAAUACACUUGAAAUGAAGCACGUCUAAUAAAAGAAACACUAUUAUCAAUUUAAUUAGACAACAGCUUCCUCUGACCAAUCGACGUUCACUUGGCAAGCACAAACCCUUUCUGAAAAAAUGUGAAAAAUAAAAAUAAAUCCAAUAGGAUAAAACUACAGUGUUAUUAGGCAUUUAAAUUUGAAGCAAUCAACCACUACAUAGAAAACAUAACUAAUGUAUGCUUUUAAUUCAUCCUGAAACCAUGAAUGCAAUCAUAAAGGAAUUUUUCCAAUACAUAUAUCCCAUUUUCUGUACCGAAAAAUAAUAAAAUGAUGUUACUUAACAUAUUAUAGGGAUACAAAAGAAAAAUUAGCAUGCCAUCCCAACUAUAUUGCAAACAUAUGGGACAACUGAUGUUAUUAUGUUAAGUAAGAGAUGUUCGAUUAUGUUGCCUAACUAAUUAACUAACCCAGCAAAAUACAACAACCCAAAAAUAACAUAUCACCAUACAUCCAUGUCCAUGAAAAUUAAGAAAACAUAAAUAAAACAUAUAUCACAGCUCCGCAAU